Molecule: non-coding RNA, 160 nt
Organism: Oribacterium sp. oral taxon 078
Lineage: Bacteria; Bacillati; Bacillota; Clostridia; Lachnospirales; Lachnospiraceae
Source: Rfam
UGACUCCAGUGCCAAAAAGUCCUGUCUCCACGACAUGCUUGCACAAGAGUGGAGACAGGACUUUAUGGCACGCCCCUUUAUAAGCGUAUAACGGGACUCUGUCCUGUGUGAAUGCGAAUAUAGGGCGACAGGGAGCAGCGUGCUGUGAACUAAGGAAACG